Long non-coding RNA from Erinaceus europaeus (western European hedgehog), 148 nucleotides. RefSeq lists it as uncharacterized. NCBI's taxonomy places the organism in Eukaryota, Metazoa, Chordata, Mammalia, Eulipotyphla, Erinaceidae. The transcript is spliced from 3 exons. The record is from RefSeq and is a predicted model, not a curated record.
AAGAAAGUCUCAAGAAUCCGCCCAUCGCUGGUCUUGGGCUGGGCUGACCGCAGCUUCGUUGUCUCUUUUAAAUCAGCUGAGAGGAUGGAGCAAUGGUAUAAGGAGCUUUGUAGCAACAUUUACAGUGAGAACAUGGACUAUGUGGACG